Molecule: long non-coding RNA, 2767 nt
Organism: Grammomys surdaster
Lineage: Eukaryota; Metazoa; Chordata; Mammalia; Rodentia; Muridae
Exons: 7
Source: RefSeq, a predicted model, not a curated record
UUUCAAGUAAACAGAGACACGGCUCCUGGGAGUGGAACCACCACAGUGUGUCUUCUGAUAUUCAGAUUUCUCGUGUUAAAUAUACAAUAUGGCUGAUUUUUAAAUAUGGAGACAUCUACAUGUUGUCUCCUGAAUAAAUCCCACAUUCAUCCCAGUUGGUUGGGGGUGGGGUUCAUGUUUCAAAGUAAAUCCCUAAGGGACAACAUUUAAACCAGAAAGACUUAGAAAAUGGACUGUCACCUAAUGUCCUAAAUUAAAGUUUAACUGUUUUUUUGUUUUUGUUUUUUCAGGAAGCCUGAAUCGGUUCGGUUCUAAGAGAAAAGCUUUGGCCUUUUACAUGUCAUCUACAAAAAGCAGCUGAUCCUCGAGACAGAGGACAAGCACACAGUACUGGAAUCAAUGUCCUCUUCAGGUUCCCUGGGCACUUCUUGGCUGAGGCCCAACCCAGGCCAUAGCUUCUGAGCCAGUCCUGACCUUCCUCAAAGGUUAGAGGUUCUUAGAGCUGACACAACCUCUCUCAAAUGCUGCUUCUUCGCACUUAGGGGAAGGCUGCCAACACACACACACCAGAAAAAGCUGGCUUUGUGGCUCUGAAGUUCAGUAUAGUAUUUAGGAACAAACCACUUUGAUUUCAUUAAAUUUUCUAUAUACUUUCUCCUGGAGAGGAACAGGUACUUCAGAGAACAUGGCUUCCAUUCAUCCUGUUGCAUGCAGUGUUCUGGCACAUGACUUAAAAACAUCUUGAAUGCAAAUAUUUACAAGACCAGCCUGUUUUCAAUCAACAGUACCAUUAAUUAUGUUAGUCAGAUGGCUCAGCUGUCAACUAAAUGUGUUAAUUGUGUGGAAGUUAGCUCUGUAAACUAGCUUCCCCAUACACUCUUUGUGGCUGCGUUCAGUGGCAUACUGCUCUUUAUGUGUGCUUGUUUUUUUUACAUUUAGCUGCAAUUAAGAGAAAUUCGCUGAUGAGAAAAUUUAGCAUGUCCAGUCACUAUUGACUCUAUGAGUACAAUACGGUCUUACCUCACACUUACAGGAUGAAUACACAAUGGCAGUGCUGUUUACUGAGCUACUAUUUCUGCCCCUGCAUCACAUGUCACUGUCUAUCUUUUUUUUUUUUUUAAACUGGCAAUCUUCUUAUUCCAUCCGACAAAACUAGAGAUGAAGGCCUAUCUCUCACUAUUACCUUACAAUGACCUGAGUUUGGCAAGCUCUAAUGAUCUGUGAAAGGGUCAGAGCUACCAAAUCCCAUUCUAAAACUCCGACUGGUCUUUAUACCCAGCACCCAUGACCUUCCAACGAGCCCCAGGGUCAAGGCUCACGUCAAGACCAUGUAUUUUGAUCUUUCAGUAAGGCUCUCACCUCUAAAUAUAGCAAUGCGUUGCUUUGUUGAACUCAGCUGCUCUCCACCUACUGAACUUGAGCCAUUCUCAAGACUCCUGGGCUACACUCUGGCCUGCCUCUUGUCAGAGCACCAACCAGGAGUGAAGCACUCAUAUGGGAUAUAUCCUCUCUCACUUUGUGCUAGCCUAGAUGCUUGGAGCUACUGAAUCCAAACAGCACUCGGUAAGGAGAAUCUGUUUUGGUUUGUCUCUGUGGUCUCAGGCCAGGCGAGGCCUGAUCAUUUGAAACCCUCCAUCUGAAUGAGUUUUGGGAAAGAUUUGUCUUUAAAGCCAAAGCUCCACAUGAGCAGAGCCCCAGAGGAGCCAGGAUGCCAGACACAAGACAUUGUAUUUCUGGUGAAGGGCUUGCAGCAUACUAAGACACUAGCACGGCAUUAAAUUUCACCAACUUCAGUGACAGAGUGACCCGGAGUGCUGCUGCCAUGCUCUCUCUGGAAGAAGUUUCCCUUAGGAGCUGGGAAUGUUUCCCAUAUUUUGGGAGUUGUAUCCUGCUGGUUUUCUGAUGCGUUCCAUGGGACUGACCUGCCAGGGCUCCAGGCUGCCUGCUGCACCUCUCGAAUCCGACCACUGCGCCUUUACUGAAGAAUCAAGAGUCCGUUCUGCUUGCUCAGAGCUCUGAGAAGGGCUGGGCUGUCCCUGCGGCCCGGAGCCGUGUCCUCCAGCACUGACAGGAGUGACAUUGCUGCCCACCAUACUCAAGGCGGCAGAAAUAAGACUUCAACAGAGGCCACAUGCUACAGGUACCUGCAGAAAGUGACAAGCCUCACCACCAAGGCCAGGGCGGCUGGGCUGACUUCUGUGGAUUCCAGUAAUUACAGGCUCUGCCUGCCUGCAGCCCAUCAUAGACCAAACAAGGGCUGAGUCACUGGAAAAGUCCUGGUGGCAUCCUACCUCCAACCACCCAGAGUUUGGCUGCAGAAAGGCUACAGGAAUGUAAGAGGACUUAUCUCUGAUCAGACCCUGUGCCAGGCUGGAAGGCACGAUGUAAGGAAUUGGUCCAUCUCAAAGGCACAGGCCACCUCCGAGAGAGCACCUAAAACCACAAGCAGCCCAGAAAGACAAGCUGCAGCCGAGACAGGUGCAUUUGGGUAUUGCAGGUAACAGGGACAUCAGGGCCACAAAGUAACAGGACAACAGCCUGUGACAAUAUGAUGCUUAAUCUUCUCUGUCAAUCUGCCUGGAUUUGGAGUCACUCAGGAGACAUACCCCUGGGAACCCCUUCUAAUUGAUGUCAAGUGAGUGACUUCUACAUUCAUCAACAGAGCACAUCAAACAAACCCUGGUGCUCCAGCCAGCAGCAUCCCAGGCUGCACAGAGAGUUCAAAAUGCAAUUACUAGAAACCAAUGGACCAUCCAGGAAAGCAACG